UACGUAGGGUGCGAGCGUUAAUCGGAAUUACUGGGCGUAAAGCGUGCGUAGGCGGUUGGCAAAGUCAGCUGUGAAAGCCCCGGGCUCAACCUGGGAAUGGCGGUUGAAACUAGUCGACUCGAAUCUGGCAGAGGGGGGUGGAAUUCCGACGUGUAGCAGUGAAAUGCGUAGAGAUGUGGAGGAACACCGAUGGCGAAGGCAGCCCCCUGGGCUGAGAUUGACGCUCAGGCACGAAAGCGUGGGGAGCAAACAGG
RNAcentral lists this ribosomal RNA (254 nucleotides) under uncultured bacterium. Its description in RNAcentral is "partial 16S ribosomal RNA". It matches the Rfam family "Bacterial small subunit ribosomal RNA", at positions 524 to 776 of the family's 1533-position model. The record is from RNAcentral.